This 489-nucleotide ribosomal RNA is filed under the name uncultured bacterium. Its description in RNAcentral is "partial 16S ribosomal RNA". It matches the Rfam family "Bacterial small subunit ribosomal RNA", at positions 30 to 507 of the family's 1533-position model. The record is from RNAcentral.
AUUGAACGCUGGCGGCAGGCCUAACACAUGCAAGUCGAACGGUAACAGGAAGAAGCUUGCUUCUUUGCUGACGAGUGGCGGACGGGUGAGUAAUGUCUGGGAAACUGCCUGAUGGAGGGGGAUAACUACUGGAAACGGUAGCUAAUACCGCAUAACGUCGCAAGACCAAAGAGGGGGACCUUCGGGCCUCUUGCCAUCGGAUGUGCCCAGAUGGGAUUAGCUAGUAGGUGGGGUAACGGCUCACCUAGGCGACGAUCCCUAGCUGGUCUGAGAGGAUGACCAGCCACACUGGAACUGAGACACGGUCCAGACUCCUACGGGAGGCAGCAGUGGGGAAUAUUGCACAAUGGGCGCAAGCCUGAUGCAGCCAUGCCGCGUGGAUGAAGAAGGCCUUCGGGUUGUAAAGUACUUUCAGCGGGGAGGAAGGGAGUAAAGUAAUACCUUUGCUCAUUGACGUUACCCGCAGAAGAAGCACCGGCUAACUCCGUG